GCGUGAACGAUGAAGGCCUUAGGGUUGUAAAGUUCUUUCGCCGGUGACGAUAAUGACGGUAACCGGAGAAGAAGCCCCGGCUAACUCCGUGCCAGCAGCCGCGGUAAUACGGAGGGGGCUAGCGUUGUUCGGAAUUACUGGGCGUAAAGCGCACGUAGGCGGACCAUUAAGUCGGGGGUGAAAUCCCGGGGCUCAACCCCGGAACUGCCUUCGAUACUGGUGGUCUGGAGGUCGAGAGAGGCGAGUGGAAUUCCGAGUGUAGAGGUGAAAUUCGU
RNAcentral lists this ribosomal RNA (275 nucleotides) under uncultured bacterium. Its description in RNAcentral is "partial 16S ribosomal RNA". It matches the Rfam family "Bacterial small subunit ribosomal RNA", at positions 399 to 691 of the family's 1533-position model. The record is from RNAcentral.